UACUUAACACAUGCAAGUCGAACGGGGAUUGUCGGAUUAGCAAUAAUUCGGCGGUCCUAGUGGCGUACGGGUGAGUAACACGUGGGUAACCUGCCCUCGAGUCCGGGAUACCCUCUCGAAAGGGAGGCUAAUACUGGAUACGUUCCUUGGGUCGCGAGACCUGGGGAGGAAAGGUGGCGAAAGCUACCGCUCUUGGAGGGGCUCGCGGCCUAUCAGCUAGUUGGUGAGGUAACGGCUCACCAAGGCGAUGACGGGUAGCUGGUCUGAGAGGACGAUCAGCCACACUGGAACUGAGACACGGUCCAGACUCCUACGGGAGGCAGCAGUAGGGAAUAUUGCGCAAUGGAGGAAACUCUGACGCAGCGACGCCGCGUGGGUGAUGAAGGUUUUCGGAUCGUAAAGCCG
RNAcentral lists this ribosomal RNA (405 nucleotides) under uncultured organism. RNAcentral describes it as "bacterial SSU rRNA". It matches the Rfam family "Bacterial small subunit ribosomal RNA", at positions 45 to 433 of the family's 1533-position model. The record is from RNAcentral.